ACGCAGAUGGGCUUCCUCCUCUCCCCGGAAAGCAUCCCCUGAGCUGGGUCGGCUGCACCUCUCUGGGCUGCUCCACCAACCCAGUUUGGACAUGUUCCGAUUCUCUGAAAUGGUCGGUCCAGGAAUGUUUUAAAGAAGUUUUGAUGCUCUACCACAGUCCACCGUUCGGACACGAAGGCCUGCCUUCCUCUCCUCGGCAUGCAGGCGCAUGCUGGACGCUGGGGAGACAGCAGUGACCAGACACUGCCCCUGUGCCCAGGGAGCUGUCUCCUGGAGGAGGUAGGCAAAAAGCAAGGUGGGACAGGAGCAGAGCUGUGAUGGAGGAGCAGCAGCUGUGUGAUAUGGGUAGGGCCCUCCCUUGAGUCAUCAUCUCUGGAGUAUGGACUUGUCACCAGUGUCAUAUCCUAUGUUUAUGGCUCUUUAAUUGGUCCCCAUCUUUGGCUGGGCUCACUGGGAAGUCACUGAGCUGACUUUGCACACAGGAAGUUAACUGGAACGCACCCACGGACAUCACCUCUGAGGGCAUGAGGGUGGCAAGCUGGGGUGGAGGGAGAUGCAGGCUGUGCUGCAGUCAUCAGGGCAAGGGGACGGGGGCUGGAGGCUGCCAUGUCAAGCAGGCACUGGAUGUGGAUGAAGGGGUCAUGGUCUCAGGCUGAAGGUGAGCCCUAGAGGGACCCCACACCCCACCGGAGCUGGAGGACCAGUCUGGAUCCCAAGAAGGGAGCUGGGGGAUGCACAGAGUGUCCACGAUGGUCCAGGUCCACUUCUCUUCGCCUUUACCACCCAGAACUAGCCCCCCACCUGUCACCUGGAGGCUGCCUUAGGCUCCUCACUGGUGUCUUAGCUUCCACUCUUGACCCUCCACCUGUAAUGCCCCAAGUCCAUCACCAGUGGGCUAAAGCCCGAGGGCUCCUCCAACACAUAAAUCAGAUUACUUUGUUCCACUGCUUAAAACUGUCUAAUGGCCCCCAAUAUACUCAGAAAAAAACCCAGCCCUUUAUCAGGGUCACAAGGCCCUGCACAAGUAAGCCCAGCUCCCCCUGUGGCCUCUUCCCCUUCCUUCAAGGUGCACCUGCCCACAGCCAUCUCUUUUCCUUGAGGCAGUGCUGUUCCACCUCAGGGCCUUUGCACUUGCUGUUCCCUCUGCCUAAUGCUCCCCUGCUCAGAUCUUCCCAUGAUUCCACACCCUUCAAGUCUCACCUGAAAUAUCCCCUCCUCGAAGGGGUCUUCCCCAACCACCCGACCUAAGAGAUUCCUACAUUCCAGUAUUGCCCUCAGAUAUUACCUUUCUUUUAAACUUUGUACCAUGUUAAACUGUCUUAUUACUUUGUUUACUUCCUGUGUCUUCCCACUAGAAUAAAUUUGAUGAGGGGAAGGAA
Manis javanica (Malayan pangolin) is the source of this 1379-nucleotide long non-coding RNA. RefSeq lists it as uncharacterized. The record is from RefSeq and is a predicted model, not a curated record. NCBI's taxonomy places the organism in Eukaryota, Metazoa, Chordata, Mammalia, Pholidota, Manidae.